AUCUAAAUAGCUUAUAAUAAGAGCACAGCACUGAAGAUGCUGAGGAAAUAUUUUUAUUUUUAGAUA
RNAcentral lists this transfer RNA (66 nucleotides) under Lixus subtilis. Its description in RNAcentral is "tRNA-Phe". It matches the Rfam family "tRNA". From Rfam's summary of the family: Transfer RNA (tRNA) molecules are approximately 80 nucleotides in length. Their secondary structure includes four short double-helical elements and three loops (D, anti-codon, and T loops). The record is from RNAcentral. Lineage: Eukaryota; Metazoa; Arthropoda; Insecta; Coleoptera; Curculionidae.